RNAcentral lists this ribosomal RNA (463 nucleotides) under uncultured bacterium. RNAcentral describes it as "partial 16S ribosomal RNA". It matches the Rfam family "Bacterial small subunit ribosomal RNA", at positions 29 to 507 of the family's 1533-position model. The record is from RNAcentral.
AGUGAACGCUGGCGGCGUGCCUAAUACAUGCAAGUCGAACGAUGAAGUCCUAGCUUGCUCGGCUGGAUUAGUGGCGCACGGGUGAGUAAUAUAUAGUUAAUCUGCCCUACACAGAGGAACAACAGUUGGAAACGACUGCUAAUACCUCAUACUCCUAUUUGACCUAAGUUAAAUAGGGAAAGUCUUUUCGGUGUAGGAUGAGACUAUAUCGUAUCAGCUAGUUGGUAAGGUAAUGGCUUACCAAGGCUAUGACGCGUAACUGGUCUGAGAGGAUGAUCAGUCACAUUGGAACUGAGACACGGUCCAAACUCCUACGGGAGGCAGCAGUAAGGAAUAUUGCGCAAUGGGGGAAACCCUGACGCAGCAACGCCGCGUGGAGGAGGACACUUGUCGGAGCGUAAACUCCUUUUAUCAGGAAAGAAUAAUGACGGUACCUGAUGAAUAAGCACCGGCUAACUCCGUG